This 254-nucleotide ribosomal RNA is filed under the name uncultured Bacteroidales bacterium. RNAcentral describes it as "partial 16S ribosomal RNA". It matches the Rfam family "Bacterial small subunit ribosomal RNA", at positions 524 to 776 of the family's 1533-position model. Lineage: Bacteria; Pseudomonadati; Bacteroidota; Bacteroidia; Bacteroidales. The record is from RNAcentral.
UACGGAGGAUGCAAGCGUUAUCCGGAUUUAUUGGGUUUAAAGGGUGCGUAGGCGGUUACUGUAAGUCAGCGGCGAAAUUUCCGAGCUCAACUUGGAACGUGCCGUUGAUACUGUCGGACUAGAAUGCGGAUGCCGUGGGAGGAAUGUGUGGUGUAGCGGUGAAAUGCAUAGAUAUCACACAGAACACCGAUUGCGAAGGCAUCUCACGAAUCCGCGAUUGACGCUGAGGCACGAAAGCGUGGGGAUCAAACAGG